Molecule: ribosomal RNA, 243 nt
Filed under: uncultured Actinomycetales bacterium
Lineage: Bacteria; Bacillati; Actinomycetota; Actinomycetes; Actinomycetales
Description: partial 16S ribosomal RNA
Rfam family: Bacterial small subunit ribosomal RNA
Source: RNAcentral
UACUCGAGUGGCGAACGGGUGAGUAACACGUGGGUGAUCUGCCCUGCACUUCGGGAUAAGCCUGGGAAACUGGGUCUAAUACCGGAUAGUAACCGUCUUUAGUGUGGUGGUUGGAAAGUUUUUUCGGUGCAAGAUGAGCUCGCGGCCUAUCAGCUUGUUGGUGGGGUAAUGGCCUACCAAGGCGUCGACGGGUAGCCGGCCUGAGAGGGUGUACGGCCACAUUGGGACUGAGAUACGGCCCAG